CCUACGGGAGGCAGCAGUGGGGAAUUUUGGACAAUGGGCGCAAGCCUGAUCCAGCAAUGCCGCGUGCAGGAUGAAGGCCUUCGGGUUGUAAACUGCUUUUGUACGGAACGAAACGGUGAGCUCUAAUACAGUUUGCUAAUGACGGUACCGUAAGAAUAAGCACCGGCUAACUACGUGCCAGCAGCCGCGGUAAUACGUAGGGUGCGAGCGUUAAUCGGAAUUACUGGGCGUAAAGCGUGCGCAGGCGGUGAUGUAAGACAGAUGUGAAAUGCCCGGGCUCAACCUGGGACCUGCAUUUGUGACUGCAUCGCUAGAGUACGGUAGAGGGGGAUGGAAUUCCGCGUGUAGCAGUGAAAUGCGUAGAUAUGCGGAGGAACACCGAUGGCGAAGGCAAUCCCCUGGACCUGUACUGACGCUCAUGCACGAAAGCGUGGGGAGCAAACAGGAUUAGAUACCCUGGUAGUCCACGCCCUAAACGAUGUCAACUGGUUGUUGGGUCUUCACUGACUCAGUAACGAAGCUAACGCGUGAAGUUGACCGCCUGGGGAGUACGGCCGCAGGUUGAAACUCAAGGAUUGACGG
This 582-nucleotide ribosomal RNA is filed under the name uncultured bacterium. RNAcentral describes it as "bacterial SSU rRNA". It matches the Rfam family "Bacterial small subunit ribosomal RNA", at positions 338 to 916 of the family's 1533-position model. The record is from RNAcentral.